This 871-nucleotide ribosomal RNA is filed under the name uncultured archaeon. Its description in RNAcentral is "bacterial SSU rRNA". It matches the Rfam family "Archaeal small subunit ribosomal RNA", at positions 4 to 882 of the family's 1478-position model. The record is from RNAcentral.
CUGGUUGAUCCUGCCAGAGGUCACUGCUAUCGGGGUUCGAUUAAGCCAUGCGAGUCGAGAGGGUUCAGACCCUCGGCGGACUGCUCAGUAACACGUGGAUAACCUGCCCUAAGGUGGAGCAUAACCCCGGGAAACUGGGGAUAAUACUCCAUAGGUUAGAGAUACUGGAAUGUUCUUUAAUCAAAAGUUCCGGCGCCUUAGGAUGGAUCUGCGGCCGAUUAGGUAGUUGUUGGGGUAACGGCCCGACAAGCCUGUAAUCGGUACGGGUUGUGGGAGCAAGAGCCCGGAGAUGGAAUCUGAGACACGAUUCCAGGCCCUACGGGGCGCAGCAGGCGCGAAAACUUUACAAUGCAGGAAACUGUGAUAAGGGAACCCCGAGUGCCCGUAUACGCGGGCUGUCCGGGUGUAUAAAAAGCAUCUGAAGAAAGGGCCGGGCAAGACCGGUGCCAGCCGCCGCGGUAAUACCGGCGGCUCGAGUGGUGACCACUUUUAUUGGGCUUAAAGCGUUCGUAGCUGGACUCUUAAGGCUCUUGGGAAAUCCCGCGGCUCAACCGUGGGGCGUUUAAGAGAUACUGGGAGUCUAGGAACCGGGAGAGGUAAGAGGUACUUCGGGGGUAGAAGUGAAAUUCUGUAAUCCUCGAGGGACCACCGAUGGCGAAUGCAUCUUACCAGAACGGCUUCGACAGUGAGGAACGAAAGCUGGGGGAGCGAACGGGAUUAGAUACCCCGGUAGUCCCAGCCGUAAACGAUGCGCGUUAGGUGUACUGGUGACCACGAGUCACUGGGGUGCCGAAGGGAAACCGUGAAACGUGCCGCCUGGGAAGUACGGUCGCAAGGCUGAAACUUAAAGGAAUUGGCGGGGGAGCACCAC